AGCCGCCCUGCAGUGGAUACCCUGACGGCGUCAUCGUCGAUAGUGGAUAACCUAAAAUCGUCAAAAUCAGUCAAAUCGAGAUGAAAGAUGUUACCAUGCGGCGGAGGAGGAACGCCGACGGAAGGCGGUGGCUGGUUAUAAUAACUCAUUAUUUUCCUCUGUGUUUUCUCUUUGAUAUGUUUCCUUGAAAUCGAUCGGAUAUUUCUUGUUUUGAUUUUAUAAGACUAAUAAAUAAUAAAGAAAAAAGGCUGACAUUUUCAUA
This is a long non-coding RNA of Cucumis sativus (cucumber), 262 nucleotides long. RefSeq lists it as uncharacterized. The transcript is spliced from 2 exons. NCBI's taxonomy places the organism in Eukaryota, Viridiplantae, Streptophyta, Magnoliopsida, Cucurbitales, Cucurbitaceae. The record is from RefSeq and is a predicted model, not a curated record.